Telopea speciosissima is the source of this 146-nucleotide long non-coding RNA. RefSeq lists it as uncharacterized. The record is from RefSeq and is a predicted model, not a curated record. NCBI's taxonomy places the organism in Eukaryota, Viridiplantae, Streptophyta, Magnoliopsida, Proteales, Proteaceae. The transcript has 3 exons.
CUGGCCUCUUCCACAACUGGAGUGGAGCCAUCAAAAUUAAGCUGAUUAGAAGGUAAGAACUACCAAACCAUGGAAUAUCAUCCCUUCAGCUACUGACACUUGCAUCCCUGCUUAGAUAAGUUCUCUAUCAGAUCAAAAUGCAACAU